GAUGAACGCUGGCGGCGUGCUUAACACAUGCAAGUCGAACGGAAAGGCCGCAGCUUGCUGUGGUACUCGAGUGGCGAACGGGUGAGUAACACGUGGGUGAUCUGCCCUGUACUUCGGGAUAAGCUUGGGAAACUGGGUCUAAUACCGGAUAGGAAUCACAUGUGGGUGUGUGGUUGGAAAGCUUUUGCGGUAUGGGGUGAGCUCGCGGCCUAUCAGCUUGUUGGUGGGGUAAUGGCCUACCAAGGCGUCGACGGGUAGCCGGCCUGAGAGGGUGUACGGCCAAAUGGGGAUGGGAUAAGGGCCCGACCCCAUACGGAGGGGAGGGGGGGGAAUGUUGUCCAAAGGGGGGAAAGCAUGUCGGAGGGACCCCGGUGGGGGGAGGGCGGCCUUCGGUUGGAAACCUCUUUUCGCUGGGGAGGAACGAUAAGGACGGGACCCGGGAAAGAAGCCCCCGCUAACCUCGGG
Molecule: ribosomal RNA, 465 nt
Filed under: uncultured bacterium
Lineage: Bacteria
Description: partial 16S ribosomal RNA
Rfam family: Bacterial small subunit ribosomal RNA
Source: RNAcentral